AGUGAACGCUGGCGGUAGGCCUAACACAUGCAAGUCGAACGGCAGCACAGUAAGAGCUUGCUCUUACGGGUGGCGAGUGGCGGACGGGUGAGGAAUACAUCGGAAUCUACUUUUUCGUGGGGGAUAACGUAGGGAAACUUACGCUAAUACCGCAUACGACCUACGGGUGAAAGCAGGGGAUCUUCGGACCUUGCGCGAUUGAAUGAGCCGAUGUCGGAUUAGCUAGUUGGCGGGGUAAAGGCCCACCAAGGCGACGAUCCGUAGCUGGUCUGAGAGGAUGAUCAGCCACAAUGGAACUGAGAAACGGUCCAGACUCCUACGGGAGGCAGCAGUGGGGAAUAUUGGACAAUGGGCGCAAGCCUGAACCAGCCAUACCGCGUGGGUGAAGAAGGCCUUCGGGUUGUAAAGCCCUUUUGUUGGGAAAGAAAAGCAGCAGGUUAAUACCCCGCUGUUCUGACGGUACCCAAAGAAUAAGCACCGGCUAACUUCGUG
RNAcentral lists this ribosomal RNA (492 nucleotides) under uncultured bacterium. Its description in RNAcentral is "partial 16S ribosomal RNA". It matches the Rfam family "Bacterial small subunit ribosomal RNA", at positions 29 to 507 of the family's 1533-position model. The record is from RNAcentral.